CAGUCGCCGCGGUAAUACGUAGGUGGCAAGCGUUGUCCGGAGUUAUUGGGCGUAAAGCGCGCGCAGGUGGUUUAAUAAGUCUGAUGUGAAAGCCCACGGCUCAACCGUGGAGGGUCAUUGGAAACUGUUAAACUUGAGUGCAGGAGAGAAAAGUGGAAUUCCUAGUGUAGCGGUGAAAUGCGUAGAGAUGUGGAGGAACACCAGUGGCGAAGGCGACUCUCUGGUCUGUAACUGACGCUGAGGAGCGAAAGCGUGGGGGGCGAACAGGAUUAGAUACCCCCGUAGUCCCUGUCUCUUAUAC
This 301-nucleotide ribosomal RNA is filed under the name uncultured bacterium. RNAcentral describes it as "partial 16S ribosomal RNA". It matches the Rfam family "Bacterial small subunit ribosomal RNA", at positions 509 to 807 of the family's 1533-position model. The record is from RNAcentral.